This 1366-nucleotide long non-coding RNA is filed under the name Homo sapiens (human). RNAcentral's name for it is "HSALNT0344877". Lineage: Eukaryota; Metazoa; Chordata; Mammalia; Primates; Hominidae. The record is from RNAcentral.
UUUUGUUUUGUUUUAAAAAAUGUGGUAAAAUAGACACCUUUUAAUUGGACCACAUUUUGUCUAUCUCGACGUAGGCCUCAGUGUCAUCAAGGAGACUCUGCUUGACAUGCAGUCAAGGCCAUGAUCCAUCUUCAGAGCUUCUCUUUCUUCCCCAAGGCUGGCGCUGAGAUGGGCAGGUGCUGCAGCAGCCCCGCUGGAAGCGAUGCAGCAUCCAGGACGACGGAGGAAGGGGCGGAGAGGGACCUCUGCUUUCCAGGCUGCCUUUUAUACUGCCUCUGGUCACCUGACAUGGAACGUACCCUAACCUAAUCAGUUACCUGUACCUUAAUUGCAAUUAACUUAAUCCAAUUACAUGACCUGGAAAGGUCUAUCUGCACAGCCCACUCUAAGAUCCUGUCCACUGCUGACAGACAUUCUAAAACCUACUUGUACAGCUGCAAGCUUUGAACAAUAGAUGUUCCCCGUCAGACAUGUAACACUGGUGCCUGUAUCCCUGUCUUCUUUUCCAUCUUUUUUGUUGUUUUGUUUUGUUUCGUUUUAAAAAAUGUGGUAAAAUAGACACCUUUUAAUUGGACCACAUUUUGUCUCUCUCGACGUAGGCCUCAGUGUCAUCAAGGAGACUCUCCUUGACAUGCAGUCACGGCCAUGAUCCAUCUUCAGAGCUUCUCUUUCUUCCCCAAGGUAAGUCUGUCAGCAGAGAACCCUGACCGCACCCUCAUGUGUUUUCUCCCCCAGGAGGCGCUUGGAAACCACCGUGAAUUGGACCGCACUGGGAAACACAGAUGAGGAAAGUCAACAACGCUUUGUCCUUCAGUGCCUGCCUCCUUUUUCAGCUCGUCUUGCGACUCCCGGACGCCUGUGAGGCUGUAAUUCCCUGGGUCCCAUUGCCAUGUCUCUGGAUUUGCGAAGAUCCACCGCACCUUCUGUGGAACUCCCGUGUCGGUGAACUUUUGUGCCACGGCCCCUAAUUCUGCCCAUGGUCAUCCGCACCUGCACGACUUAGGGUCCAUGUUCCUUGGACGGGAAGAGACAGGCAGGAGUCGGAAUGAUGAACCAGCACACUGGGGCGUUUUCUCAUGUAGCCCAAGUGACCCCAUGGUCUUCUCGAGCUUUGGAACCAGUCGCGUCCCCUUUGACACUGCACCCGGCUCCCAGUCUCUCAAUCUUGUUGGCCCUCCGGCGAUCUCCCGUUGGAUGAAUUGCUCCUGCUGAAACUCCAGUCCCCUUUGAUUUGCGCUUCAUUAAUUAUUCAUGAUUCAGGUUGGAAGGCCUGCUGACGACCCCCUGUGGCCGUUCUCUGAGCUUUCCUGUCACAUCGUUUCCUUCCACGCUCUUUGGUUCCUUAUGGUCCUGCUCCCUCUGCUGU